CAGCCCCGUACACAAAAGCGUAUGUGCUGUGAGCUCGAUGAGUAGGGCGGGACACGUGGUAUCCUGUCUGAAUAUGGGGGGACCAUCCUCCAAGGCUAAAUACUCCUGACUGACCGAUAGUGAACCAGUACCGUGAGGGAAAGGCGAAAAGAACCCCGGCGAGGGGAGUGAAAAAGAACCUGAAACCGUGUACGUACAAGCAGUGGGAGCCCCACCACUAAGCCAGUGGUGAACUCCACAUACGCAUCCUUUGCUGAGGAUACGGUUAACGGAGCGAAAGCGACGUUCAACCGCAAAAGAAGCAGAGGGGGCUUAGUGGUGGGGUGACUGCGUACCUUUUGUAUAAUGGGUCAGCGACUUAUAUUCUGUAGCAAGGUUAACCGAAUAGGGGAGCCGGAGGGAAACCGAGUCUUAACCGGGCGUUAAGUUGCAGGGUA
Molecule: ribosomal RNA, 437 nt
Filed under: Salmonella enterica subsp. enterica serovar Dublin
Lineage: Bacteria; Pseudomonadati; Pseudomonadota; Gammaproteobacteria; Enterobacterales; Enterobacteriaceae
Description: bacterial LSU rRNA
Rfam family: Bacterial large subunit ribosomal RNA
Source: RNAcentral